RNAcentral lists this transfer RNA (77 nucleotides) under Candidatus Margulisiibacteriota bacterium. RNAcentral describes it as "tRNA-His". It matches the Rfam family "tRNA". Rfam says of the family: Transfer RNA (tRNA) molecules are approximately 80 nucleotides in length. Lineage: Bacteria; Bacillati; Candidatus Margulisiibacteriota. The record is from RNAcentral.
GUGAGCGUAGCUCAGUUGGUUAGAGCUCCGGUCUGUGGAACCGGUUGUCGUGGGUUCGAUCCCCAUCGCUCACCCCA